GGAGGCUGGAGAGGAGGAGGGAGUAGGGUAGUGGGCGCGGAAAGUGCCUGUUUUCUGCAUUUCCCCCAUUUCUGUUUCGUCCUCAUAGCCUGGGGCCAGGACACUCUGCCCACCUUGGAGCCUAGCAGGACAGAAUACAGGGUGGACUCUACAUUUAAUGCCAGAGGUCUCCACCUUUUGCCGAGAGGUUCCAGGGUGUGUUGGGCAUGCAUUUCUGCAGGAGAGACAUCUGGGGAGGCGCUGUGAAAGUGGCAAGGGAACUUUGGGGGCAGAAAAGGAGAUGCCUGCAGGCCCAGGCUGAGCUGAAGAGUGCCUUGGCUGCUUGCUAGUGGGUUUGCUGUUCUGACCUGUGGGGUGAGGUGGACCCUGGGGGAACCCUGCCUUCUCCACUCACGGCUGCACACCCCCUCCUGUCCUGCUCCAGAACCUCAGUGUUUCCUGAUGGUGUGGCUCUGAGUACUAGUGAACUGGCUUGGUUUGUUUUUUUCUGGGCCACCUUUCUUCCUGGGUUGGUUCAAAGGGGAGGCCAGGCCACCUCCCACUGUGGCAUCCAAGGGAUGCGUCUAUAGGCUCUGAGGCAAUGGCAGCGUCUGCCCCUGAGCCCGGCUCUGGGGUGUCAGCAUGGUCAUCCUAUGUGGAAUGAGAAACAGGGAAGAAGUGGGGCCUGAAGGCGAGUUGGGAUGCCGGCAUGCAGGUGGACAUUUCACUACAGCACUGUGUCUCCUCUGCAUGGUGGGGAGGGCAGGGUGCCCUCCUUGGGUGGAUCCCGAGUCCCUGCCCCCAACCACAAAGCCCCCUUUAUAAUAAACAUUCGGUGGCUAGGAGGACAGUCCUGGACCCAGGCAUCUCUGAUUUACUUUCUAGCGUGCUGGAUGGCUCCUCAUUCACGGUCUCUUCCGCUCCCAGGACCACAGUGGGUUAGCGUCCAAGGGCCACUUUUAAUGGAAAGGGCUUUGGUCUCUGUAGUCCUAAGGGAGGUCGAGGCAACUAUUAGGUCCGCUUGGGAAGCCAGGAAGGCCUACUUGGUCCUAAGGCCAGCUGGGUUCACCCUGAAUGCCGUUGUUAGUCACCUGCUGUCUGUAGGGCUGUGGUCUGGGAGAAUCCUGUCCUUACCCAACUCUGCCUGGGGACUUUCUCCUGCAUUAAGGGGACAGCAGUCUGGCUUAGCUCUCAGGGCAGAAAGAAGGGCAGUGUGGAGUUUUGUGUCCCCAGCAGCUUUGCCACAUUUGACCCUGGGCUAAGGGGGGCCAGGAGGAGCAGCAGGAUCUUUUUCUCAGAAGAGUACCACCUGGUCUGUGGGUAGAGCCUGGACCACAGGCCCCUGUGCCCACAGCUCUUAGCCCUGUGGAGUGCCCCUGUGUGGGGCGGGGAAGGACUUUGGAAGCUGUGGGAGAUGUUGAUGCCGUUGCUGUGGAUACCUAGAGUGAGCCAGGGAUGGGGUGGGGGCAGGGUGGAAGGAGAGGCGUGCUGUGGACUCCUUGCUCUUGGAACAUUCUCCAUGCCCAGAAGCCCCCUCUCCCUGGUCCCCAGUGCCCAGUACAGUCAGCAGUGUGCCUCGGGGGGGGGGGGGGGUCUGGCCCCUUUCCAGCCGAGGAGCUCAGACCUGGAAGAGGUCCCCCCUCUGGGCACUGCAGCCUGCUGAGCAGUGUUCCUGGCUUCCGCCCAUUCCACGCCAGGAGCAUCCCAGUUGUGGCAACUACUAGUGUCCCUGGAGGGGUUUGCAGGGUCACCCCCUGUUGCACUCUUCUCUAAGGUCCCAAUUUACCUAAGUCUGAAAGGUAUCACUGAGUGCUGUGUGCCAAGGCUGUGCAAGGCCCUGGGGGACAAAACCGGUCCCUGUCCUAACCAUUGAGCUCCAUUCCCAGCCCUUUUCAUUCUUUAUUUUUAUUUUAAGAUAGAGUCUUGCUAAUUUGUCCAGUCUGGCCUUGACCUUGUGAUCCUCCAGCUUCAGCCUCCUGAACUGGUAGGAUGACAGGUGUGUGCUGCCAGGCCAGCUUGUCCCAGGACUUGUGAAACCUCGCGGAGGGAGGGAGAGCUGUGGAGAACAAGGCUCCCAGAGGAGCGGGUUUCAGACCUGCGGCUGGCCUGGGUGGGUGGGGCAGGAGGCUGGGUUUCCCCGUGGGAGGAGUGGGCUGGGCUUGGGCAUGGAUUUUGAGGUGGGCAGGUGCAGGGCAGGCAAGGUGAAGGGCUGUCUGAUCCCAAGGACGGGGCUGGGGAGGCAGGCUUGGCUUGGCAGAGGAAAAUCCGUUUAUGGAGAAGGGAUUAGGGU
RNAcentral lists this long non-coding RNA (2269 nucleotides) under Marmota monax (woodchuck). Lineage: Eukaryota; Metazoa; Chordata; Mammalia; Rodentia; Sciuridae. The record is from RNAcentral.